Molecule: ribosomal RNA, 492 nt
Filed under: uncultured bacterium
Lineage: Bacteria
Description: partial 16S ribosomal RNA
Rfam family: Bacterial small subunit ribosomal RNA
Source: RNAcentral
GGUGAACGCUGGCGGUAGGCCUAACACAUGCAAGUCGAACGGCAGCACAGUAAGAGCUUGCUCUUACGGGUGGCGAGUGGCGGACGGGUGAGGAAUACAUCGGAAUCUACUUUUUCGUGGGGGAUAACGUAGGGAAACUUACGCUAAUACCGCAUACGACCUACGGGUGAAAGCAGGGGAUCUUCGUACCUUGCGCGAUUGAAUGAGCCGAUGUCGGAUUAGCUAGUUGGCGGGGUAAAGGCCCACCAAGGCGACGAUCCGUAGCUGGUCUGAGAGGAUGAUCAGCCACACUGGAACUGAGACACGGUCCAGACUCCUACGGGAGGCAGCAGUGGGGAAUAUUGGACAAUGGGCGCAAGCCUGAUCCAGCCAUACCGCGUGGGUGAAGAAGGCCUUCGGGUUGUAAAGCCCUUUUGUUGGGAAAGAAAAGCAGCAGGUUAAUACCCCGCUGUUCUGACGGUACCCAAAGAAUAAGCACCGGCUAACUUCGUG